RNAcentral lists this long non-coding RNA (1123 nucleotides) under Zalophus californianus (California sea lion). RNAcentral's name for it is "lncRNA (ENSZCAG00015003579.1)". Lineage: Eukaryota; Metazoa; Chordata; Mammalia; Carnivora; Otariidae. The record is from RNAcentral.
CUCCCACCCAGCUAGGGUCCAUCCUGGGGACAGAUGUCGCCCAAAAGGACCAUAGCAAAAAUGGGCCAAGUGAGCGACAAAGUGUGGAGACUUCUGAGAUUGGCUUGGGGUUGGCACUUACAGAACAAUAAACUGAGCCUUUGAAGAGGCUAAACAAAGGAACCAUUUGUCUACUCCAGCAGCUACAAAGGAAGGCAACCUCGCAGAGGACUGAGGAGUAAAAGAACGCCGCGCUGGGGAGAGGACCAGAGUAACGUUUAGUGGGUUGAGCCCAGGACCCUCCGCAAGGAUAUGAAGUCAGUGGGGAAGAAUGUUCCUGCAGUGACACACUGUUCUCUUCCGGGAGACAAAUCUCACUGGACUGUUCACCUGGAGUCCCAACCCUGUGGGUGAUAACAGAGCUGCCCUUCUGGAGACCCACUUCUUAGAACCCCAACAACACCCUAAAACAAGAGAGACACAGCCUUAGAGUGUUCCUAGACCAGCAAACCAGGAAUGCUUGGUCAGCCGACACCUACUACUAACUUCCAAAAGGAUGUAGAAAGACCAAAGCUGUCCCUUAAACAGUGUCCUUAAAAGCGGGCCUGAAGGAGUUGGUAAGGAGGGAGCUGGAAACUCGUUUUAAGGAGCCACCACAUCCUUCGCCCCGCAGGAAACCCCCGCGCGCCGGACGCCCCUGCCCCCACCAACCUCCCUCCCUCAGUUGGCAUCCGGACGCGGUGAUCUCGGCUGCCAGUAGAGGGCACACUUACUUUACUUUCGCAAACCCCAGCGUGGGUGCAGCCUCGGGAGGGGGGCGGGGAAAAGACGCUUUGCAGCAAAACCUUGACUAGGGAUUGGUCCCUUCCCAGCGUUUGCGGCAAAGGCCCAGAGGCUGGAGUAAUUUGCAACCCUUAAAGACGAAUUGCGCUGUGCGCUUGAUUUGGAGGAAGUUGCUACUCACUUAACAAUUGAACGCUGAGCUGCAAACUCAACGGGUAAUAAUUUAUCUCAAACAUGCUCUGCAAGAUCUUCUCCUCCCCCCCCCCCCGGAUUUUCUUCUGUUUGGAAUGGGGAGGGCGGGUAAGGAAAAGUUUACUUAAAAUGCUUUCGGGUCAAGGACCACGGUGGGGAGAUUGCCUUU